RNAcentral lists this ribosomal RNA (498 nucleotides) under uncultured bacterium. RNAcentral's name for it is "partial 16S ribosomal RNA". It matches the Rfam family "Bacterial small subunit ribosomal RNA", at positions 28 to 505 of the family's 1533-position model. The record is from RNAcentral.
GACGAACGCUGGCGGCGUGCUUAACACAUGCCAGUCGAACGGGUCUGCCCUGUUUUUUGCGGGGUGGGUCAGUGGCGAACGGGUGAGUAACACGUGAGUAACCUGCCCCUCACUUCUGGAUAACCGCUUGAAAGGGUGGCUAAUACGGGGUGUUCUGGCUGUGCCGCAUGGUGUGGCUGGGAAAGAUUCACUUUUGUGGUGUUUUGGUGGGGGAUGGGCUCGCGGCCUAUCGGCUUGUUGGUGGGGUGAUGGCCUGCCAAGGCUUUGACGGGUAGCCGGCCUGAGAGGGUGGGCGGUCACACUGGGACUGAGAUACGGCCCAGACUCCUGCGGGAGGCAGCAGUGGGGGGUAUUGCACAAUGGGCGGAAGCCUGAUGCAGCGACGUCGCGUGAGGGAUGGAGGCCUUCGGGUUGUGAACCUCUUUCGCCGGUGAAGAAGGUCCUGCUCUUUGUGGUGGGGUUGACGGUAGCCGGGUUAUGAAGCGCCGGCUAACUACG